Molecule: long non-coding RNA, 685 nt
Organism: Dendroctonus ponderosae (mountain pine beetle)
Lineage: Eukaryota; Metazoa; Arthropoda; Insecta; Coleoptera; Curculionidae
Exons: 2
Source: RefSeq, a predicted model, not a curated record
ACCUUAUAAAUACGUCUAUUUCUAACAACUUUCCCUAGUGGUAUUUCCUGUGAAAAUGCCAGUUUCCACCACUUUUCACUCACUGAGAUUUUCUAUUUUAUAAUAAGAAAGCCAUGAUAUCGACACUUUCUAUGACAACUGCCGAACGACGCAGUUCGUGCAUUUUCCCAGUCAAUAUUUUUAUGGAAAAUUUCAGUUUUUGAAUAAUAUUCAAUCCCCAAAUUUUUAGUGGGUUCUGGUUGUUUUUAGUUGUGAAAGAGCACAUUUGAAUUACAUUUACACCGAUCGAAAUCCAAAAAAAAUGUAAAAAGUAGCUUUAUUAAUAUGAUAAUAUGCAAGCCACAAGGGAGCGCUUGGACCUUUGAACUAGCGAAUACAUGGUGACUCAUUUUUAAAAAAACCAAUCAAAUAUCCAGCAAAUUGUAGCAAAUACAAGAAAACAUACCUUCGAACACAAAUGUUGUUUAAUUACUAGGGGAAAACCCGGAGAUAUCAACUUUUUCGACAGAUGGCGCUGUUAAAGACAAGAAGGGGACUUUAGAUUUUUAAAUGGAUUGGAUAAUAAAGUAUUCAGCACUUCAACGAAUCCUACAAACUUCCAGAUCCGUAUGUUAAUACUUACCUCUGGUGAAAUGUUGAUUGGCAAUUUUACAAGGAAAGUGAAUAAAGCAAUGCCAUUAAUUAA